RNAcentral lists this ribosomal RNA (484 nucleotides) under uncultured bacterium. Its description in RNAcentral is "partial 16S ribosomal RNA". It matches the Rfam family "Bacterial small subunit ribosomal RNA", at positions 30 to 507 of the family's 1533-position model. The record is from RNAcentral.
AUUGAACGCUGGCGGCAGGCCUAACACAUGCAAGUCGAGCGGAUGAAGGGAGCUUGCUCCUGGAUUCAGCGGCGGACGGGGGAGUAAUGCCUAGGAAUCUGCCUGGUAGUGGGGGAUAACGUCCGGAAACGGGCGCUAAUACCGCAUACGUCCUGAGGGAGCAAGUGGGGGAUCUUCGGACCUCACGCUAUCAGAUGAGCCUAGGUCGGAUUAGCUAGUUGGUGGGGUAAAGGCCUACCAAGGCGACGAUCCGUAACUGGUCUGAGAGGAUGAUCAAUCACACUGGAACUGAGACACGGUCCAGACUCCUACGGGAGGCAGCAGUGGGGAAUAUUGGACAAUGGGCGAAAGCCUGAUCCAGCCAUGCCGCGUGUGUGAAGAAGGUCUUCGGAUUGUAAAGCACUUUAAGUUGGGAGGAAGGGCAGUAAGUUAAUACCUUGCUGUUUUGACGUUACCAACAGAAUAAGCACCGGCUAACUUCGUG